CGUCUCCGUGGCACUGACAUGGUGCUGACGUGGCAUUUUUCGUCAAUUUUAACACUUAUCUAACGGCUGUGACCUAAUUGUAAUGAAAUUAAGAGAUUAGGGAUUUGAUUGUAAAAAAAAUUGAUUGAAAAUCAGAUUGAAAAACGGUGUAAAGACUAGGGACCAUUGGUGUAAUUAAUCCAUUAACAACCAGAAGUAUUGGUUGUUAAAAAAGCAAAAGAAUAUAUAUUGUCAUAUUUUUUUUUUUUUUUUUGAGAGAUAGGUAGCACGCUACCCGCUUCGUUUAUUUCAUUCAGAAAUGAACUUAGCCAGAAAUGUGAAUCAAUUAGGAUUCGAAUUUGGGUCUCGGGUGCCAACCACCAAGCCCUUUGCCGCUUAUUUCAUUUUCAUCUUUACGUAUCCUUCGUAGCCUUUGGAUACAGCAAAAAUAGAAUCUCUCAAUUUAAGGUUUUAUUCGGCACUUAUCUGUCAUAUUAUAACUCAAAUUUAAGUAAAAAUUAUUAAUAAUAAUUAUAUAAUUUUAUUUUUUAUUUUAUAAAAUUUAUAUAUAGUGUAGAUAUAUAUUGAAUUUUUUUAUAUUUUUUUAUUCUAACAAAUUCAAAUUUAAAUAUAUAUUUUAAAUUAAAAAUAUCAAAAUUAAAAAUUUAAUAUAACAAUAAAAUAUUAGUAGAUAGAAUAGAGAUAAUAUAUAAAUAUUUAUCUUAAAAAAAGAUAUUGAAUGAUAAAAGUAUUUAAUAAAAAAUAAAAUAUUAAUGGCUGGAGAAAAAUGAGGAACUAAAAGUUUGUUUUGUUACGUUAUUUAUUUCGCGUACGAAUUUUUUUUUUUUUUGAAAUAGGUAUGUCGACAGGUCGAAAUUUGAAAUACGUAUUUUUAUAUAUAAUAAUAUAGAAUAUAGACAUCGAGUUGAGUUAGAAUACUUUUAAUAGUAUAUGGCCUCUUUUGCUAUCCUGUUUUUAGCCGUUAGAUCUAUUCUAAUUAUUUUUACUAUUGGAUUAAUAUUAUUUCACU
This 1009-nucleotide long non-coding RNA is filed under the name Ananas comosus (pineapple). RNAcentral's name for it is "long non-coding RNA (ACOM_LNC011796)". Lineage: Eukaryota; Viridiplantae; Streptophyta; Magnoliopsida; Poales; Bromeliaceae. The record is from RNAcentral.